RNAcentral lists this ribosomal RNA (264 nucleotides) under uncultured bacterium. RNAcentral's name for it is "partial 16S ribosomal RNA". It matches the Rfam family "Bacterial small subunit ribosomal RNA", at positions 90 to 354 of the family's 1533-position model. The record is from RNAcentral.
UCUUAGUGGCGGACGGGUGAGUAACGCGUGGGUAACCUGCCUUAUACAGGGGGAUAACACUUAGAAAUAGGUGCUAAUACCGCAUAAGCGCACGGGGCUGCAUGGCCCAGUGUGAAAAACUCCGGUGGUAUAAGAUGGACCCGCGUCUGAUUAGCUUGUCGGCGGGGUAACGGCCCACCAAGGCGACGAUCAGUAGCCGGCCUGAGAGGGUGGACGGCCACAUUGGGACUGAGACACGGCCCAAACUCCUACGGAAGGCAGCAG